GAUGAACGCUGGCGGCGUGCCUAAUACAUGCAAGUCGAGCGAACGGACGAGAAGCUUGCUUCUCUGAUGUUAGCGGCGGACGGGUGAGUAACACGUGGAUAACCUACCUAUAAGACUGGGAUAAUUUCGGGAAACCGGAGCUAAUACCGGAUAAUAUUUUGAACCGCAUGGUUCAAAAGUGAAAGACGGUCUUGCUGUCACUUAUAGAUGGAUCCGCGCUGCAUUAGCUAGUUGGUAAGGUAACGGCUUACCAAGGCAACGAUGCAUAGCCGACCUGAGAGGGUGACCGGCCACACUGGAACUGAGACACGGUCCAGACUCCUACGGGAGGCAGCAGUAGGGAAUCUUCCGCAAUGGGCGAAAGCCUGACGGAGCAACGCCGCGUGAGUGAUGAAGGUCUUCGGAUCGUAAAACUCUGUUAUUAGGGAAGAACAUAUGUGUAAGUAACUGUGCACAUCUUGACGGUACCUAAUCAGAAAGCCACGGCUAACUACGUG
This 497-nucleotide ribosomal RNA is filed under the name uncultured bacterium. RNAcentral's name for it is "partial 16S ribosomal RNA". It matches the Rfam family "Bacterial small subunit ribosomal RNA", at positions 28 to 507 of the family's 1533-position model. The record is from RNAcentral.